UAAGGCCUUUCUCCAUCUCCUCCCCUGAAAUAUUUUUGUCACCAUCUCAUAUACCGAAUCCCCAACGAUGUCCUAGUGGUGCUAGAAGAAAGCCGUAUACAGGACACCCAAUGCCGAACAAGACAGCACAAAUAUCCUCUCUGGUGACCGGAUUACUCAAGGCAUUGAGUGUGUCUGUAUUAAGAGUUGGGAAUCUACCAUUGACUGUAAAGGUGCGACCACUAGGCGUAUCUUUUGAGUAUAGUGCUCUAAAGAAGUUAGAGGCCAUGUGUUUAAGUUAGCCAGCCUCAAGAUCCAAUUACCCUUAUUAUCUUGGAGCAUAACAAUUUUAUUCCGUCUACGCCUAGCCAUAGUGCGCACAUGGAAGUAGGUCGUGUUCUUGUUACUAAGAGAAAUGAACUCGCACCUCGAUUUUUGUAUCAAAUAGAGUUCUUCCUAUAACAGAGUGUCCUCGAGCUCCUAGUAGAGUGAUACCACAAGCCUACUGGAUACUCCAAGUUGGAGUGUUCAAGUGUCUGUUGAAUGUCAAAGAUACGAGUCAUUAAACAUCUCUUAUUCUAGAAGAUAUGGCAAAAGACAGUGGUGUUC
Molecule: long non-coding RNA, 588 nt
Filed under: Carica papaya (papaya)
Lineage: Eukaryota; Viridiplantae; Streptophyta; Magnoliopsida; Brassicales; Caricaceae
Description: long non-coding RNA (CPAP_LNC002527)
Source: RNAcentral